AUUGAACGCUGGCGGCAGGCCUAACACAUGCAAGUCGAACGGUAACAGGAAGACGCUUGCUUCUUUGCUGACGAGUGGCGGACGGGUGAGUAAUGUCUGGGAAACUGCCUGAUGGAGGGGGAUAACUACUGGAAACGGUAGCUAAUACCGCAUAACGUCGCAAGACCAAAGAGGGGGACCUUCGGGCCUCUUGCCAUCGGAUGUGCCCAGGUGGGAUUAGCUAGUAGGUGGGGUAACGGCUCACCUAGGCGACGAUCCCUAGCUGGUCUGAGAGGAUGACCAGCCACACUGGAACUGAGACACGGUCCAGACUCCUACGGGAGGCAGCAGUGGGGAAUAUUGCACAAUGGGCGCAAGCCUGAUGCAGCCAUGCCGCGUGUAUGAAGAAGGCCUUCGGGUUGUAAAGUACUUUCAGCGGGGAGGAAGGGAGUAAAGUUAAUACCUUUGCUCAUUGACGUUACCCGCAGAAGAAGCACCGGCUAACUCCGUG
RNAcentral lists this ribosomal RNA (490 nucleotides) under uncultured bacterium. RNAcentral's name for it is "partial 16S ribosomal RNA". It matches the Rfam family "Bacterial small subunit ribosomal RNA", at positions 30 to 507 of the family's 1533-position model. The record is from RNAcentral.